UCCAAUUGGAUGUACAGCAGGCUGAAUAUGCGACAAAAUCAGCAAGAGAAUUAUUUUUAAAUCUCCAAAUUUCCUUCUUGCUAGCGGUGGCCGACUCCAAUUGAAUCAAGGAAUUAACUCAGCCUUGAAGAGUUUAAUUGAAAAUAAAACUCUAGUAGGCUGGAGCUAAUUUUAUGCGAUGGGUUCAGCUAGGAAAAGGGGGAUAAGAUCAAAUUUAAUUUUGAAUUGUUGGAGGUUAUUAUCCCAUAAAUAGAGAUGACCAGCAGCUGAAAAAGGUGUCAAAAAACAGAGGAAAACAAUACAGCAGCAGAGAGGCAUGGCACUCGAGCAAAGGAAAACCUCAAAUUGAAUAAGCAAAAGCCGAACAAGCAAUUGAAGUAGCAGCCCAGAAUUUCAGCUAAUCGGAAGAAGGGAAGCUCGACGAUUGGAGAAAUUUUCUUCUCCAAGACUCAGUUUGUAAUUUAUGCUGAUUAUAAUUGAUUCUUGUUUCGUUUCAAUUGCUAUGAGUGGUUAGAAUAUUCAAGCUUAGUUAGACACUUAUGAAACCUAGCACAAGGAAUUUGUAGAUUUAUUUUAAAUUUGGAUUUGGCAUUCUUGAGUUGCUUGCUUUAUCGUUCAAGGAAUUUUUCUAAAUCAAUUAGAUUGAUCACCUACUUAAUUUAGUUAGACACUUAGAACUGGUGAUGAUUAAUUGGCAUGCCGCUAAUUGAAGCAACUACGAAUUUAAUUUUGGAAGCCGCUGGAGGAUUUUCUUUAAUUAAAACAAGGUGAAGUCCCUAAAACUCUAAAAAAACCUUUAAUAAGUCGACAUAGAGAUAAUUAAAGGUAGGUUUCAAUUAUGAACGUUCUCUAAUUGAACAAUUUACUAGGGAUAAGAAGUCGCUUCGUAAGUGAUUUAUUUAGCCUUGCUGCUGAUUUGGCUUAUUAGAAUAAUUUAAGGCUGCAAAGGAUUUGUGCUGGGUGGAUUAAGGCGUCAAUAACUAAGCAAUUAUUUUCCUUGAUAAUUUUCAGCAUUCUCAAUUCAAGCUAAAGCUUAUAUGCUACUUUAGAUUAUUUUUAGCAAUCGUAAAACAUAAAUUUCCCCCAUUUUUCUCCUUUCUCGCAUGCAUUUUACAUUACUUUAAUUUUAAAUCACUUCAAAU
RNAcentral lists this long non-coding RNA (1142 nucleotides) under Gossypium barbadense (sea-island cotton). RNAcentral describes it as "long non-coding RNA (GBAR_LNC013666)". The record is from RNAcentral. Lineage: Eukaryota; Viridiplantae; Streptophyta; Magnoliopsida; Malvales; Malvaceae.